GGAGAUAGGGAGUAGCCAGGCUCCUAACAAUGGUGUUGUAGGUUCGAUUCCUGCUAUCUCCG
Molecule: transfer RNA, 62 nt
Filed under: Candidatus Saccharimonadota bacterium
Lineage: Bacteria; Candidatus Saccharimonadota
Also listed under: 1 other name
Description: tRNA-OTHER
Source: RNAcentral